CCUACGGGAGGCUGCAGUGGGGAAUCUUGCACAAUGGAGGAAACUCUGAUGCAGCGACGCCGCGUGAGCGAUGAAGCCCUUCGGGGUGUAAAGCUCUUUCGUCAGGGACGCGGUACCUGGAGAAGCAGCUGCGGCUAACUACGUGCCAGCAGCCGCGGUAAUACGUAGGCAGCAAGCGUUGUUCGGAGUUACUGGGCGUAAAGGGUGCGUAGGCGGCUUUUUAAGUUUGGUGUGAAAUCUCCCGGCUCAACUGGGAGGGUGCGCCGAAUACUGAGAAGCUAGAGUGUGGGAGAGGAAAGUGGAAUUCCUGGUGUAGCGGUGAAAUGCGUAGAUAUCAGGAGGAACACCGGUGGUGUAAACGGCUUUCUGGACAUACUGACGCUGAGGCACGAAAGCGUGGGUAGCAAACAGGAUUAGAUACCCUUGUAGUC
This 431-nucleotide ribosomal RNA is filed under the name uncultured bacterium. RNAcentral's name for it is "partial 16S ribosomal RNA". It matches the Rfam family "Bacterial small subunit ribosomal RNA", at positions 338 to 795 of the family's 1533-position model. The record is from RNAcentral.